Molecule: ribosomal RNA, 481 nt
Filed under: Bacillus cereus
Lineage: Bacteria; Bacillati; Bacillota; Bacilli; Caryophanales; Bacillaceae
Description: bacterial SSU rRNA
Rfam family: Bacterial small subunit ribosomal RNA
Source: RNAcentral
CAUUAAGCACUCCGCCUGGGGAGUACGGCCGCAAGGCUGAAACUCAAAGGAAUUGACGGGGGCCCGCACAAGCGGUGGAGCAUGUGGUUUAAUUCGAAGCAACGCGAAGAACCUUACCAGGUCUUGACAUCCUCUGACAACCCUAGAGAUAGGGCUUCUCCUUCGGGAGCAGAGUGACAGGUGGUGCAUGGUUGUCGUCAGCUCGUGUCGUGAGAUGUUGGGUUAAGUCCCGCAACGAGCGCAACCCUUGAUCUUAGUUGCCAUCAUUAAGUUGGGCACUCUAAGGUGACUGCCGGUGACAAACCGGAGGAAGGUGGGGAUGACGUCAAAUCAUCAUGCCCCUUAUGACCUGGGCUACACACGUGCUACAAUGGACGGUACAAAGAGCUGCAAGACCGCGAGGUGGAGCUAAUCUCAUAAAACCGUUCUCAGUUCGGAUUGUAGGCUGCAACUCGCCUACAUGAAGCUGGAAUCGCUAGUU